UACAGAGGAGCCAAGCGUUGUCCGGAUUGACUGGGCGUAAAGCGCACGCAGGCGGACGCGCGCGUGGGGUGUGAAAUCUGGCCGCUUAACGGCCAGCGGCCAUCCCAUACGGCGGGUCUGGAGCGAUGCAGAGGUCGGUGGAAUUGCCGGUGUAGUGGUGAAAUGCGUAGAUAUCUGGAGGAACACCGGUGGCGAAGGCGGCAUCCUGGACCGGUAUUGACGCUGAUGCGCGAAAGCCAGGGGAGCAAACGGG
Molecule: ribosomal RNA, 253 nt
Filed under: uncultured bacterium
Lineage: Bacteria
Description: partial 16S ribosomal RNA
Rfam family: Bacterial small subunit ribosomal RNA
Source: RNAcentral